AACGAACGCUGGCGGCAUGCCUAACACAUGCAAGUCGAACGAGACCUUCGGGUCUAGUGGCGCACGGGUGCGUAACGCGUGGGAACCUGCCCUUAGGUUCGGAAUAACUCCCCGAAAGGGGUGCUAAUACCGGAUAAUGUCUUCGGACCAAAGAUUUAUCGACUUUGGAUGGGCCCGCGUUGGAUUAGCUAGUUGGUAGGGUAAAAGCCUACCAAGGCGACGAUCCAUAGCUGGUCUGAGAGGAUGAUCAGCCACACUGGGACUGAGACACGGCCCAGACUCCUACGGGAGGCAGCAGUGGGGAAUAUUGGACAAUGGGCGAAAGCCUGAUCCAGCAAUGCCGCGUGAGCGAUGAAGGCGUUAGGGUUGUAAAGCUCUUUUACCCGGGAUGAUAAUGACAGUACCGGGAGAAUAAGCGCCGGCUAACUCCGUG
RNAcentral lists this ribosomal RNA (433 nucleotides) under uncultured bacterium. RNAcentral describes it as "partial 16S ribosomal RNA". It matches the Rfam family "Bacterial small subunit ribosomal RNA", at positions 29 to 507 of the family's 1533-position model. The record is from RNAcentral.